This 769-nucleotide ribosomal RNA is filed under the name uncultured bacterium. RNAcentral describes it as "bacterial SSU rRNA". It matches the Rfam family "Bacterial small subunit ribosomal RNA", at positions 28 to 776 of the family's 1533-position model. The record is from RNAcentral.
GACGAACGCUGGCGGCGUGCCUAAUACAUGCAAGUCGAGCGAAGUUUUUCUGGUGCUUGCACUAGAAAAACUUAGCGGCGAACGGGUGAGUAACACGUAAAGAACCUGCCUCAUAGACGGGGACAACUAUUGGAAACGAUAGCUAAUACCGGAUAACAGCAUAAAUCGCAUGAUAUAUGUUUGAAAGUUGGUUUCGGCUAACACUAUGAGAUGGCUUUGCGGUGCAUUAGCUAGUUGGUGGGGUAAAGGCCUACCAAGGCGACGAUGCAUAGCCGACCUGAGAGGGUGAUCGGCCACACUGGGACUGAGACACGGCCCAGACUCCUACGGGAGGCAGCAGUAGGGAAUCUUCCGCAAUGGGCGAAAGCCUGACGGAGCAACGCCGCGUGAGUGAAGAAGGAUUUCGGUUCGUAAAGCUCUGUUGUUAGGGAAGAAUGAUUGUAUAGUAACUAUAUACAGUAGAGACGGUACCUAACCAGAAAGCCACGGCUAACUACGUGCCAGCAGCCGCGGUAAUACGUAGGUGGCAAGCGUUGUCCGGAAUUAUUGGGCGUAAAGCGCGCGCAGGUGGUUUAAUAAGUCUGAUGUGAAAGCCCACGGCUCAACCGUGGAGGGUCAUUGGAAACUGUUAAACUUGAGUGCAGGAGAGAAAAGUGGAAUUCCUAGUGUAGCGGUGAAAUGCGUAGAGAUUAGGAGGAACACCAGUGGCGAAGGCGGCUUUUUGGCCUGUAACUGACACUGAGGCGCGAAAGCGUGGGGGGCAAACAGG